UACGGGGGGGGCAAGCGUUGUUCGGAAUUACUGGGCGUAAAGGGCUCGUAGGCGGUCAACUAAGUCGGACGUGAAAUCCCUCGGCUUAACCGGGGAACUGCGUCCGAUACUGGAUGACUUGAGUUCGGGAGAGGGGUGCGGAAUUCCAGGUGUAGCGGUGAAAUGCGUAGAUAUCUGGAGGAACACCGGUGGCGAAGGCGGCAUCCUGGACCGACACUGACGCUGAGGAGCGAAAGCCAGGGGAGCAAACGGG
This 253-nucleotide ribosomal RNA is filed under the name uncultured bacterium. Its description in RNAcentral is "partial 16S ribosomal RNA". It matches the Rfam family "Bacterial small subunit ribosomal RNA", at positions 524 to 776 of the family's 1533-position model. The record is from RNAcentral.